AUUUAAAUAGCUUAAUUGAAAGCGUUACGUUGAAGCCGUAGAGAUGAUGAAGCAUCUUUAAGUA
This 64-nucleotide transfer RNA is filed under the name Oplophorus typus. RNAcentral's name for it is "tRNA-Phe". It matches the Rfam family "tRNA". Rfam says of the family: Transfer RNA (tRNA) molecules are approximately 80 nucleotides in length. The record is from RNAcentral. Lineage: Eukaryota; Metazoa; Arthropoda; Malacostraca; Decapoda; Oplophoridae.